CCUACGGGAGGCAGCAGUCGAGAAUCAUUCACAAUGGGGGAAACCCUGAUGGUGCGACGCCGCGUGGGGGAAUGAAGGUCUUCGGAUUGUAAACCCCUGUCAUGUGGGAGCAAAUUAAAAAGAUAGUACCACAAGAGAAAGAGACGGCUAACUCUGUGCCAGCAGCCGCGGUAAUACAGAGGUCUCAAGCGUUGUUCGGAAUCACUGGGCGUAAGGCGUGCGUAGGCGGUUUCGUAAGUCGUGUGUGAAAGGCGCGGGCUCAACCCGCGGACGGCACAUGAUACUGCGAGACUAGAGUAAUGGAGGGGGAACCGGAAUUCUCGGUGUAGCAGUGAAAUGCGUAGAUAUCGAGAGGAACACUCGUGGCGAAGGCGGGUUCCUGGACAUUAACUGACGCUGAGGCACGAAGGCCAGGGGAGCGAAAGGGAUUAGAUACCCCGGUAGUC
This 446-nucleotide ribosomal RNA is filed under the name uncultured bacterium. RNAcentral's name for it is "partial 16S ribosomal RNA". It matches the Rfam family "Bacterial small subunit ribosomal RNA", at positions 338 to 795 of the family's 1533-position model. The record is from RNAcentral.